AGCAGCCGCGGUAAUUCCAGCUCCAAUAGCGUAUAUUAAAGUUGUUGCAGUUAAAAAGCUCGUAGUUGAAUUUCGGGAUCAAUUUGUUGGUCGUGCCUCGGUACGUACUGGCAUUAUUGGUUUCUACCUUCUGAAGAACCUUGAUGUCAUUAAUUUGGUGUCUUGGGGAAUCAGGACUGUUACUUUGAAAAAUUAGAGUGUUUAAAGCAGGCAUACGCUUGAAUACAUUAGCAUGGAAUAAUGAAAUAGGACGUUUUGAUUCUAUUUUGUUGGUUUCUAGGAUCGACGUAAUGAUUAAUAGGGAUAGUUGGGGGCAUUAGUAUUCAAUUGUCAGAGGUGAAAUUCUUGGAUUUAUUGAAGACUAACUACUGCGAAAGCAUUUGCCAAGGAUGUUUUCAUUAAUCAAGAACGAAAGUUAGGGGAUCGAAGACGAUCAGAUACCGUCGUAG
This 449-nucleotide ribosomal RNA is filed under the name uncultured Glomus. RNAcentral's name for it is "SSU rRNA". It matches the Rfam family "Eukaryotic small subunit ribosomal RNA", at positions 569 to 1023 of the family's 1831-position model. The record is from RNAcentral. Lineage: Eukaryota; Fungi; Glomeromycota; Glomeromycetes; Glomerales; Glomeraceae.